This 375-nucleotide ribosomal RNA is filed under the name Rhinella hoogmoedi. RNAcentral describes it as "partial 12S ribosomal RNA". Lineage: Eukaryota; Metazoa; Chordata; Amphibia; Anura; Bufonidae. The record is from RNAcentral.
GAAGUCAAUUAUUACUUAAUAUACACAUGCAAGUAUCCGCUCCCCUGUGAAAACGCCCUUCAACCCCCAUUAGGGACAAGGAGCCGGUAUCAGGCACAACCUAUGCCCAAGACACCUAGCUUUGCCACACCCACAAGGGAUUUCAGCAGUGAUUAACAUUGAAUAUUAGCGCAAGCUUGAUUCAGUUAAAGUAAAACAGAGCCGGCCAAUCUGGUGCCAGCCGCCGCGGUUACACCACGUGGCUCUAAUUGACCCCAUUCCGGCGUAAAGCGUGAUUAAAGUCAUCUUCUAAUAGAGUUGAAUUAAAACUAAGCUGUGACACGCUUGUUUUUAAGAAAUGCCCAAACGAAAGUUACUCUAAUUUAACCAACUUGA